Molecule: ribosomal RNA, 343 nt
Filed under: uncultured bacterium
Lineage: Bacteria
Description: bacterial SSU rRNA
Rfam family: Bacterial small subunit ribosomal RNA
Source: RNAcentral
AGGGUUUGAUUAUGGCUCAGGAUGAACGCUGGCGGCGUGCCUAACACAUGCAAGUCGAGCGAGAAAUGUAUUUAUGAAACUUCGGUAGAUUAGAUACAUGGAAAGCGGCGGACGGGUGAGUAACGCGUAGGCAACCUGCCCCUUGCAGAGGGAUAGCCAUUGGAAACGAUGAUUAAAACCUCAUAACGCUGCAUUGUCACAUGAUGGAGCAGCCAAAGAUUUAUCGGCAAGGGAUGGGCCUGCGUCUGAUUAGCUAGUUGGUGGGGUAACGGCCUACCAAGGCGACGAUCAGUAGCCGACCUGAGAGGGUGAUCGGCCACAUUGGAACUGAGACACGGUCCAA